RNAcentral lists this ribosomal RNA (253 nucleotides) under uncultured bacterium. RNAcentral describes it as "partial 16S ribosomal RNA". It matches the Rfam family "Bacterial small subunit ribosomal RNA", at positions 524 to 776 of the family's 1533-position model. The record is from RNAcentral.
UACGGGGGGGGCAAGCGUUGUUCGGAAUUACUGGGCGUAAAGCGUGCGCAGGCGGUUCGCCAAGUCAGGUGUGAAAUCCCCGGGCUUAACCUGGGAAUUGCGCUUGAAACUAGCGGGCUUGAGUGCGGCAGAGGGGGGUGGAAUUCCACGUGUAGCAGUGAAAUGCGUAGAGAUGUGGAGGAACACCGAUGGCGAAGGCAGCCCCCUGGGUCGACACUGACGCUCAUGCACGAAAGCGUGGGGAGCAAACAGG